Molecule: ribosomal RNA, 440 nt
Filed under: uncultured bacterium
Lineage: Bacteria
Description: partial 16S ribosomal RNA
Rfam family: Bacterial small subunit ribosomal RNA
Source: RNAcentral
CCUACGGGAGGCAGCAGUGGGGGAUAUUGCACAAUGGGGGAAACCCUGAUGCAGCGACGCCGCGUGAGUGAAGAAGUAUUUCGGUAUGUAAAGCUCUAUCAGCAGGGAAGAAAAUGACAGUACCUGACCAAGAAGCCCCGGCUAACUACGUGCCAGCAGCCGCGGUAAUACGUAGGGGGCAAGCGUUAUCCGGAUUUACUGGGUGUAAAGGGAGCGUAGACGGUUAUGUAAGUCUGGAGUGAAAGCCCGGGGCCCAACCCCGGGACUGCUUUGGAAACUGUGUAGCUGGAGUGCAGGAGAGGUAAGCGGAAUUCCUAGUGUAGCGGUGAAAUGCGUAGAUAUUAGGAGGAACACCAGUGGCGAAGGCGGCUUACUGGACUGUAACUGACGUUGAGGCUCGAAAGCGUGGGGAGCAAACAGGAUUAGAUACCCGAGUAGUC